GACGAACGCUGGCGGCGUGCUUAACACAUGCCAGUCGUACGGUAAGGCCCUUUCGGGGGUACACGAGUGGCGAACGGGUGAGUAACACGUGAGUAACCUGCCCACAACUUUGGGAUAACGCUAGGAAACUGGUGCUAAUACUGGAUAUGUUCUCCUGCUGCAUGGUGGGGGUUGGAAAGCUCCGGCGGUUGUGGAUGGACUCGCGGCCUAUCAGCUUGUUGGUGGGGUAGUGGCCUACCAAGGCGGCGACGGGUAGCCGGCGUGAGAGGGUGACCGGCCACAUUGGGACUGAUCUACGGCCAAGACACCUACGGGAGGCAGCAGAGGGGAAUAUUGCACAAUGGGCGCAAGCCUGAUGCAGCAACGCCGCGUGCGGGAUGACGGACUUCGGGUUGUAAACCGCUUUCAGCAGGGACGAAGCUUUUUGUGACGGUACCUGCAGAAGAAGCACCGGCUAACUACGUG
RNAcentral lists this ribosomal RNA (465 nucleotides) under uncultured bacterium. Its description in RNAcentral is "partial 16S ribosomal RNA". It matches the Rfam family "Bacterial small subunit ribosomal RNA", at positions 28 to 507 of the family's 1533-position model. The record is from RNAcentral.